AACGAACGCUGGCGGCAUGCCUAACACAUGCAAGUCGAACGAGACCUUCGGGUCUAGUGGCGCACGGGUGCGUAACGCGUGGGAACCUGCCCUUAGGUUCGGAAUAACUCCCCGAAAGGGGUGCUAAUACCGGAUAAUGUCUUCGGACCAAAGAUUUAUCGCCUUUGGAUGGGCCCGCGUGGGAUUAGCUAGUUGGUAGGGUAAAAGCCUACCAAGGCGACGAUCCAUAGCUGGUCUGAGAGGAUGAUCAGCCACACUGGGACUGAGACACGGCCCAGACUCCUACGGGAGGCAGCAGUGGGGAAUAUUGGACAAUGGGCGAAAGCCUGAUCCAGCAAUGCCGGGUGAGUGAUGAAGGCCUUAGGGUUGUAAAGCUCUUUUACCCGGGAUGAUAAUGACAGUACCGGGAGAAUAAGCUCCGGCUAACUCCGUG
This 433-nucleotide ribosomal RNA is filed under the name uncultured bacterium. Its description in RNAcentral is "partial 16S ribosomal RNA". It matches the Rfam family "Bacterial small subunit ribosomal RNA", at positions 29 to 507 of the family's 1533-position model. The record is from RNAcentral.